RNAcentral lists this ribosomal RNA (445 nucleotides) under uncultured bacterium. Its description in RNAcentral is "bacterial SSU rRNA". It matches the Rfam family "Bacterial small subunit ribosomal RNA", at positions 29 to 521 of the family's 1533-position model. The record is from RNAcentral.
AACGAACGCUGGCGGCAUGCCUAACACAUGCAAGUCGAACGAGACCUUCGGGUCUAGUGGCGCACGGGUGCGUAACGCGUGGGAAUCUGCCCUUGGGUUCGGAAUAACAGUUAGAAAUGACUGCUAAUACCGGAUAAUGUCUUCGGACCAAAGAUUUAUCGCCCAGGGAUGAGCCCGCGUAGGAUUAGCUAGUUGGUGAGGUAAAGGCUCACCAAGGCGACGAUCCUUAGCUGGUCUGAGAGGAUGAUCAGCCACACUGGGACUGAGACACGGCCCAGACUCCUACGGAGGCAGCAGUGGGGAAUAUUGGACAAUGGGCGAAAGCCUGAUCCAGCAAUGCCGCGUGAGUGAUGAAGGCCUUAGGGUUGUAAAGCUCUUUUACCCGGGAUGAUAAUGACAGUACCGGAGAAUAAGCCCCGGCUAACUCCGUGCCAGCAGCCGCGGU